AAGAUGUUAGUAAAACUAUUAUACUGCUUUGUCAAGGCAGAGUUGCGAGUUAAAACCUCGCACACCUUA
Molecule: transfer RNA, 69 nt
Filed under: Doryrhamphus excisus (bluestripe pipefish)
Lineage: Eukaryota; Metazoa; Chordata; Actinopteri; Syngnathiformes; Syngnathidae
Also listed under: 1 other name
Description: tRNA-Asp
Rfam family: tRNA
About the family: Transfer RNA (tRNA) molecules are approximately 80 nucleotides in length. Their secondary structure includes four short double-helical elements and three loops (D, anti-codon, and T loops).
Source: RNAcentral